GCAGUAGCCGCGGUAAUACGUAGGGUGCGAGCGUUAAUCGGAAUUACUGGGCGUAAAGCGUGCGCAGGCGGUUCGUUAAGACAGAUGUGAAAUCCCCGGGCUUAACCUGGGAACUGCAUUUGUGACUGGCGAGCUAGAGUAUGGCAGAGGGGGGUAGAAUUCCACGUGUAGCAGUGAAAUGCGUAGAGAUGUGGAGGAAUACCGAUGGCGAAGGCAGCCCCCUGGGCCAAUACUGACGCUCAUGCACGAAGCGUGGGGAGCAAACAGGAUUAGAGACCCGAGUAGUCCCUGUCUCUUAUACA
Molecule: ribosomal RNA, 302 nt
Filed under: uncultured bacterium
Lineage: Bacteria
Description: partial 16S ribosomal RNA
Rfam family: Bacterial small subunit ribosomal RNA
Source: RNAcentral